GACGAACGCUGGCGGCGUGCCUAAUACAUGCAAGUUGAGCGAUGAAGGUUGGUGCUUGCCCCAAUUUGAAGAGCAGCGAACGGGUGAGUAACGCGUGGGGAAUCUGCCUUUGAGCGGGGGACAACAUUUGGAAACGAAUGCUAAUACCGCAUAACAACUUUAAACAUAAGUUUUAAGUUUGAAAGAUGCAAUUGCAUCACUCAAAGAUGAUCCCGCGUUGUAUUAGCUAGUUGGUGAGGUAAAGGCUCACCAAGGCGAUGAUACAUAGCCGACCUGAGAGGGUGAUCGGCCACAUUGGGACUGAGACACGGCCCAAACUCCUACGGGAGGCAGCAGUAGGGAAUCUUCGGCAAUGGACGAAAGUCUGACCGAGCAACGCCGCGUGAGUGAAGAAGGUUUUCGGAUCGUAAAACUCUGUUGGUAGAGAAGAACGUUGGUGAGAGUGGAAAGCUCAUCAAGUGACGGUAACUACCCAGAAAGGGACGGCUAACUACGUG
This 497-nucleotide ribosomal RNA is filed under the name uncultured bacterium. RNAcentral's name for it is "partial 16S ribosomal RNA". It matches the Rfam family "Bacterial small subunit ribosomal RNA", at positions 28 to 507 of the family's 1533-position model. The record is from RNAcentral.